RNAcentral lists this ribosomal RNA (261 nucleotides) under uncultured bacterium. Its description in RNAcentral is "partial 16S ribosomal RNA". It matches the Rfam family "Bacterial small subunit ribosomal RNA", at positions 524 to 784 of the family's 1533-position model. The record is from RNAcentral.
GACGUAGGGGGCGAGCGUUGUCCGGAUUUAUUGGGCGUAAAGCGCGCGCAGGCGGCCUGUUAAGUCGGGUGUGAAAGACCACGGCUCAACCGUGGGGGUGCAUCCGAAACUGGCGGGCUUGAGUGCAGGAGAGGGGAGUGGAAUUCCCGGUGUAGCGGUGGAAUGCGUAGAUAUCGGGAGGAGCACCAGUGGCGAAGGCGGCUCUCUGGCCUGUAACUGACGCUGAGGCGCGAAAGCGUGGGGAGCAAACAGGAUUAGAUA